Long non-coding RNA from Lontra canadensis (Northern American river otter), 663 nucleotides. RefSeq lists it as uncharacterized. The transcript is spliced from 3 exons. The record is from RefSeq and is a predicted model, not a curated record. NCBI's taxonomy places the organism in Eukaryota, Metazoa, Chordata, Mammalia, Carnivora, Mustelidae.
GGGCAGCCCAGCCACUUCAGCCACCAGGCCCUCGUGCGCAGGCGCAAUGACAGCCCAAUGGUCCUCUACAGGUCCGGGAGUUUACAGAAAGGGAGAGAGACUAGAAGCAGAGCCAAGGCCGUGCUAGUAAGGACGAGGUGAGGAAAGACUGUACCUAAGACCCGUGGAAAUCCUCUCACAGUCCGGAGCAGGGGCUCUUCUGGUAAAUUGAGGGUGCCUUCCUCCAAGAUUCCAUACAGAAGCAGACUUUAGACUUCUCUCCAAAAGAAUCCUCAACUCCUCUCCCUAUUCCAACUCCCUGUCCAGAGGAAAGGAAGUGGCCAAUCUGAUUACUGUUAAACAAAAUUCACCUGAGUAGAUUUGAAGAUCUAACUGGCUUUACUCAAUGAUCCAUGAAUAGGGCAGCAUCCCAUCUGAAACCUGAUGAUAACCAGAUAAUGACAUUUGUCUUGAAAUCAUCUGACAUACUCUGAUUGUACCAACUCCUGGAUGGCACCUUACUGUCCAGAAGAAAGCGCCCAUUCGGAUGUUUCAAGGCUUCCCUGCUCUGAGAUUUUAAUAAACGCAUCACCAUCCUGAUGUUGGCAUGCUGGGUCUAAGGACCCAGAGGGGCCCUGCAGGACCAGCCAAGAGGGUCCUUGGCUUUGCACAGGAUUGAAAUCA